AAGUGGGUAUAUUUUGGGUUUGAGAAUGAAAAAAAAAAUGGGUAGAACUUGAGACUAUCUAAGAAAAUGGUAGAAUGAUGAGAACAAAGCAUUGUAUGCAUGAAUUGCUCCUUUUCUUAGAUAAAUUUUGGAUAAUGAUCUUGCUCAUAUUCUUGAGUGUAAGUCACCAAUAAAAAAUGCAUUUGAAAACCUUCUUUCUUCACAUUAGACCAUCUUCUCUCACCAAGCCAAAUGAUUGAGAUCAAAUGUCCAUUUGCAAGAAUUCACCUUGUGUGUGUG
This 279-nucleotide long non-coding RNA is filed under the name Brassica napus (rape). RNAcentral describes it as "long non-coding RNA (BNAP_LNC009900)". The record is from RNAcentral. Lineage: Eukaryota; Viridiplantae; Streptophyta; Magnoliopsida; Brassicales; Brassicaceae.